AGGUAACGUCGAGAUUGGAACUUACGAUCUCCUGUUUACUAGACAAGCGCCUUAACCAACUAAGCCACAGCGCC
Molecule: transfer RNA, 74 nt
Filed under: Cordylochernes scorpioides
Lineage: Eukaryota; Metazoa; Arthropoda; Arachnida; Pseudoscorpiones; Chernetidae
Description: tRNA-Thr
Source: RNAcentral